RNAcentral lists this ribosomal RNA (455 nucleotides) under uncultured soil bacterium. RNAcentral describes it as "bacterial SSU rRNA". It matches the Rfam family "Bacterial small subunit ribosomal RNA", at positions 958 to 1417 of the family's 1533-position model. The record is from RNAcentral.
AACGCGAAGAACCUUACCUGGGUUUGACAUGCACAGGACGCCGGUAGAGAUAUCGGUUCCCUUGUGGUCUGUGUGCAGGUGGUGCAUGGCUGUCGUCAGCUCGUGUCGUGAGAUGUUGGGUUAAGUCCCGCAACGAGCGCAACCCUCACUCGAUGUUGCCAGCGUUAAGUCGGGAACUCUUCGAGAACUGCCCAUGUAAGUGGGAGGAAGGUGGGGAUGACGUCAAGUCAGCAUGGCCCUUACGGCCAGGGCUGCACACGUACUACAAUGCCCAGUACAGAAUGAACCGAAACCGCGAGGUGGAGGAAAUCCCUAAAACUGGGCUCAAUUCGGAUUGGAGGCUGCAACUCGCCUCCAUGAAGCUGGAAUCGCUAGUAAUGCCGUAUCAGCUACGACGGCGUGAAUACGUUCCCGGGCCUUGUACACACCGCGUUCCCGGGUCUUGUACACACCGA